GCGACCGGGUGAGUAAUGCUUCGAUCUGCCCAGUAGUGGGGAAUAACCAGUCGAAAGACUGGCUAAUACCGCAUACGACCUAAGGGUGAAAGCGGGGGAUCGCAAGACUCGCGCUAUUGGAUGAGCCGAAGUCGGAUUAGCUAGUUGGUAGGGUAACGGCCUACCAAGGCGACAAUCCGAGCUGGUCUGAGAGGACGACCAGCCACACUGGGACUGAGACACGGCCCAGACUCCUACGGGAGGCAGCAGUGGGGAAUAUUGGACAAUGGGGGCAACCCUGAUCCAGCGACGCCGCGUGUGUGAAGAAGGCCUGCGGGUUGUAAAGCACUUUAGUGGGGAGGAAAAGCUCAACCUAACACGUCUGGGAAUUGAUUUACCAAAAGCCGGUAACUCUGUGCCAGCAGCCGCGGUAAUACAGAGGGUGCGAGCGUUAACUCGGAAUUCACUGGGCGUAAAAGCGUGCGUAGACGGUCAAUCUAAGGUCCGGGUGUGACACAUCCCCCGGGUCCAACCUGGGGGAAAUUUGGCUUUCAGAACUGGAAAUAGCUAGGGGUCACGGGAACGAGGGGACAGCCGGAAAUUUACCGCGUUGUACCGGUG
Molecule: ribosomal RNA, 600 nt
Filed under: uncultured bacterium
Lineage: Bacteria
Description: bacterial SSU rRNA
Rfam family: Bacterial small subunit ribosomal RNA
Source: RNAcentral